RNAcentral lists this ribosomal RNA (497 nucleotides) under uncultured bacterium. Its description in RNAcentral is "partial 16S ribosomal RNA". It matches the Rfam family "Bacterial small subunit ribosomal RNA", at positions 28 to 507 of the family's 1533-position model. The record is from RNAcentral.
GACGAACGCUGGCGGCGUGCCUAAUACAUGCAAGUUGAGCGCUGAAGGUUGGUACUUGUACCAACUGGAUGAGCAGCGAACGGGUGAGUAACGCGUGGGGAAUCUGCCUUUGAGCGGGGGACAACAUUUGGAAACGGAUGCUAAUACCGCAUAAAAACUUUAAACACAAGUUUUAAGUUUGAAAGAUGCAAUUGCAUCACUCAAAGAUGAUCCCGCGUUGUAUUAGCUAGUUGGUGAGGUAAAGGCUCACCAAGGCGAUGAUACAUAGCCGACCUGAGAGGGUGAUCGGCCACAUUGGGACUGAGACACGGCCCAAACUCCUACGGGAGGCAGCAGUAGGGAAUCUUCGGCAAUGGACGAAAGUCUGACCGAGCAACGCCGCGUGAGUGAAGAAGGUUGUCGGAUCGUAAAACUCUGUUGGUAGAGAAGAACGUUGGUGAGAGUGGAAAGCUCAUCAAGUGACGGUAACUACCCAGAAAGGGACGGCUAACUACGUG